UUGAUAGAAGCCAAAGGGAGGCAAAUUACUGUUAAUGAUUUAAUUGAAAUUAUAUUUCCUAUCAAU
Molecule: transfer RNA, 66 nt
Filed under: Tenuipotamon yuxiense
Lineage: Eukaryota; Metazoa; Arthropoda; Malacostraca; Decapoda; Potamidae
Description: tRNA-Asn
Source: RNAcentral